ACUUUCAGCUCAGACACAAGACAGGUGAAUGCCUUCAUCAUGACUGCCAGAGAGGGAGGAGGCCAACCUGGCACCACCAUGGAGGUCCUCAAAUCUACCACCCUGGCAGAGGCGAGCUGUGAGAUGGCCCUGGCUUUUGUGGGACCACCUUCUGAAGGUCAUCUGGAACUGGAUGAGAAGUGCUCAAGGAUAUAAGGUUAGGAGCAGUUUCUCCAAGAAACUCCCUCAUAAAACCACAGGAAGAUGGUGUUUGAGCUAGUUUUGAUGGAGACACUUAAGCUCUUGAGAAACUGGAUUAUUUCCUGGAAGGGGAAACAGGACCACUGCAGAGAGGCCUGAGUGAAUUUCACUCCCUGGCUCCAGCCUCAUCUGCUGCUGCAGGUUGACCUGGAGCCUGGAGUCCUUCUGUGGGGCUUACAGUGCAGCCAGCACUGCCCGAAGCUGUAGACACUUAGGGAAGGGGUGAGUACUACCAAGGUGAGGACUACUUAGGCAGCCUUGUGUUGUGAGUAGACUAAGCAGCAGAAAUGCUACAGAGUGGGCCAGGCCCAGGGGUGAAGAAGCAACAAAUCAGUGGAAUGUUUGCAAUGUUUUGGUCUUAGGAAUUAUACCAGGCCUCAAAGUCACAAAGCCUCUCUGUGGUCGAACGCCAGCCAGCCCUCACACAGGCAUAUGGUGGUGUGGGGAGAUGCUGGGAUCCAUGUGGCAAGCUCCUGACCACACAUCAACAGAGGGGUCAAAGACCCUCUGUGUCAGACUUGAGGAACUUGUAGAGAGUCAUAAGCUGGGUAAAUACAAUUUUGAAAAUCAGGCCUAGGGGAGUGUUUAUAGCAAAAUAGCAAGAAGAAAAAUUUAGGCUUCACCAGCAACCGGGAAGGCUCCUAGAUUCUCCUUGACUGUGGAGGAAAAGGUUGAAAGGAAGACCAAGUGGCCGUAUAUGAAAAGCAGGUUCCCCUGAUCUGCCUGGGCAGUUUCAUCCCUGCAGAGCUGGGAUGAAUGACAAAUUCAAAACCUCUCUUUACACGUGGAUUUGAACAAGAAAUCUCCAGGAAGCAGGUUUGAAGAGAUGGGAUCCAGACACCUCCUAAGCCUCUUGUUUUCAAAUUUGUCUGCAUGUUGGAAUCACCUGGCCAUCUUUUUAAAACUGCUGAUGCCUGUAUGUGCCCCCUCCUCCCAAGAUUCUGAUUUCAUUGGCUCAGGGUGAAGCCUCAGCAUCAUAAUUUUUUUUUUUUAAUAGAGUCUUGCCCUGUUGCCCAGGCUGGAGUGCAGUGGUGCAAUCUCGGCUCACUGCAACCUCUGCCUCCCAGGUUCAGGCAAUUCUCAUGCCCCAGCCUCCUGAGUAGCUGGAAAUGCAGGUGCACACCACCACACCCAGCUAAUUUUUUGUAUUUUUAGUGGAGAUAGGGUUUCACCAUGUUGACCAGGCUGAUCUCGAACUCCUGAGCUCAGGCAAUCCACCUGCCUCAGACUCCCAAAGUGCUGAGAUUACAGGCGUAGCCACCACACCUGGCCAGCAUCAUGAGUUUUAAAGGCUUCCCAGGUGAGUCUGAUAUGUGGCAAAGUCUGAGAACCACCAACCUAGGCAAUCUAAUCAGAAAAGAUUUCCACAGAUGUACUGAUGAUAUUAACUAUUGGUACUUGGGGUACGUUUUAAUUAAGUUAUAGCUAGGAAUGAUAAUGGCUAAUGUGAAUCACUAUGAAAGAUAUUUUUUAAACAAAGACUAUAGACUGAAAAAUAAAAAGAUAUGCAAAUUAUGCAAAAGCAAACACAAAACAAUGUUAUAGUGUGUGUGUAUGUGUGCGUGUGCACAUGUGCACCUGACUGUAACUGCACACUAUAAGCACUCUGAGAUUGGGCUGGUUGUCAAUGAAGACUUCAGCAUUACAUGUAAGAGAAUAUAUUGAUGUGUUACUUUGUAAUUAUAAAUAAAGUAGAUUUUAUAAUUCAUUGUUUUGGGUUUGUUUCUAAAAGAGAUUAUUCCUUUUGGGCCAUAGCCUCCAGGUGGAGAAAGGAGACUGCACUAAGAAUGGGCCGAGUCAUCAGACAGCUGAAGAUAAUAUAGGAAAAUGGAAAUAAACAAGGAGUAACUUAAUUUUAUCCCAGACUUUGGCAUACGCCCAAAACAAGAAGUCAUUCUCUCUCCUAAAAGAAGGGGCACUAUUUGUACCUUUAGAGACUGUCUUGUUCUGAAUAAUUUUUCCCAUCUGUUUUGUGGGAGAGAUACAAGCUGAUUUUUCCCCCAACCAUCAUGGAGAUUUUAUUUUAAUUCAGGCACAAUUGAAGUGACUAAACAAAGUGCAGGAAAACUUCUUGAGGUUGCAAGAGUGAGCAAAAAUAUGGCAAAGGGACCUUAAUAUAUAUACAGGUAAGAUCAUAAAUUAUAAGGAAGUUUUCUAAAAUGAUUGCACAGAAUGAUGGGUUCUGGGAUAUUCGUUAUUGCCAAGAAAGAGUACCUUGAAGACAUUGUAGACUACAGAACUGGAAGUGGCCCAAAGAUGCAUAAGAAAAAUAAUAAUAAUAACAAAAGUCACUUAUUGAGUGGUUAUAAUAUUCCAGCUUACCAUUUUAAGCACCUUGCUUUAAUUAUUUUAUUUUAUCCUUAUAAGGCAAUAUACUAUGAUCAGCCUGAUUUUACAAAUGAAUAUGAGAUUAAAUAAUUUAUCCAAGGUCACAUGUCUCAUAAGAGACAGUGCGGUGCCCUAUCAAGGCACUUAACCUCUGGGCUAACCACUGCUCUUAGCAGUAAGGGUGAUGUUUCCCCAAGUAGACACUAGAAACAACAGGCAUGAUACCAGCAACAAUGGCAAAAAGAUUCCAUGGUCAGAUUUACAGGGUAAAACUCUUACUAAGGACAUGUCUGUAAUAUGCUAAUGUAAAUUAAGAAAAUAAAGGAGAUGGCGAUCACAUGAUUUGACUUUAGAGUUUUAUUUUUACAGAUGAAAGUGUGAAGUAUGCUGUGGAAAAUGCUGUUUCAGGUUGGUUUCCUUAUGGAGACGAUAAAAUGAAUUUUCUGGGAGGGGUAAUGAUUGAGAGGAUCUGGUGGUGAUGGACCUGCAUGACCCUAAAGAGACUCAGCUGGAGGGAGGUCUGAGGCUGAAUUUGGGGAGCAUGAGUGGCUGACAAAGAAAGACAGCACAGAAAUAGGGAACAGAGAGGAGGCCAAACUGGAAAAAUCAAAGCAGAACUGUGACCAACACAAGGAAGUGGCUCAGCAGUCAGCAGAUGGGAUGUAAGUAGAUACAAGGAGGGAAUUAAGCACUAAGGCAGAACUGAGUUUCUUGAACAAUGACAAAAGGUGGGGCAGGGGCAUCAGGAACAGGUUCAAAGUUUACACAUAAAAAUUGGGCUCAGAGUCAGGACUAAUAAGAGGCAAGCUUGGCAUCUCGGAGUUCCAGAAAGAAAGGAAGUACUAAAAGCAAAAAACAAAAAAACCCUACAUUGACAGUGGUAUGUCAAAAGGCCACAGGAACCAACUGAAAGAGCUCCCAAUGGCCAAAGCUGGAACAAUUUGAGCAACAAAACAAAGUAGUACUGAAUUAUAACCCAAAGUAUAAAAUAAAUAUCCAUAUAUCCACACUGAUAUUAAUAAGUGAUUAGAUAAAUUAAUAAAUGGGGAGGACAGACAAAUCUCCCAUGCAGAAGAAUUCUGAAGAAUUUAUGUAGAUACUCCAUGCUCAAGGUAGGAGAACAUAAAUCCUCACUCCUU
Molecule: long non-coding RNA, 3707 nt
Filed under: Homo sapiens (human)
Lineage: Eukaryota; Metazoa; Chordata; Mammalia; Primates; Hominidae
Description: HSALNT0319211
Source: RNAcentral